CCUACGGGAGGCAGCAGCUAAGAAUCUUCCGCAAUGGGGGAACCCUGACGCAGCAACGCCGCGUGGGUGAAGAAGGCCUUCGGGUCGUAAAGCCCUUUCGGACGGGACGAACGCUCCGCGGUGACAACCCGCGGAGUCUGACGGUACCGUAAGAAGAAGCACCGGCUAACUCCGUGCCAGCAGCCGCGGUAAUACGGAGGGUGCAAGCGUUGUUCGGAAUUACUGGGCGUAAAGCGCGUGUAGGCGGCCUUGCAAGCCAGACGUGAAAGCCCUCGGCUUAACCGGGGAAGUGCGUCUGGAACUGCUCGGCUCGAGUACGGGAGAGGGAGGCGGAAUUCCCAGUGUAGAGGUGAAAUUCGUAGAUAUUGGGAGGAACACCGGUGGCGAAAGCGGCCUCCUGGACCGAUACUGACGCUGAGACGCGAAAGCGUGGGGAGCAAACAGGAUUAGAUACCCUGGUAGUCCACGCGGUAAACGAUGGGCACUAGGUGUGGGGGGUAUCCACUCCUCCCGUGCCGCAGCUAACGCACUAAGUGCCCCGCCUGGGGAGUACGGCCGCAAGGUUAAAACUCAAAGGAAUUGACGG
Molecule: ribosomal RNA, 586 nt
Filed under: uncultured bacterium
Lineage: Bacteria
Description: bacterial SSU rRNA
Rfam family: Bacterial small subunit ribosomal RNA
Source: RNAcentral